RNAcentral lists this ribosomal RNA (1248 nucleotides) under metagenome. Its description in RNAcentral is "bacterial LSU rRNA". It matches the Rfam family "Bacterial large subunit ribosomal RNA", at positions 1635 to 2878 of the family's 2925-position model. The record is from RNAcentral.
UAUACGACCGUACCGCAAACCGACACUGGUGCGCGAGAUGAGUAUUCUAAGGCGCUUGAGAGAACUCAGGAGAAGGAACUCGGCAAAUUGACACCGUAACUUCGGAAGAAGGUGUGCCCUAUUAGUGUGUAGUGAACAACGAAGCAUGAAUGGGUUGCAAAAAAUCGGUGGCUGCGACUGUUUAUUAAAAACACAGCACUCUGCAAACACGAAAGUGGACGUAUAGGGUGUGACGCCUGCCCGGUGCUGGAAGAUUAAAUGAUGGGGUGCAAGCUCUUGAUUGAAGUCCCAGUAAACGGCGGCCGUAACAAUAACGGUCCUAAGGUAGCGAAAUUCCUUGUCGGGUAAGUUCCGACCUGCACGAAUGGCGUAACGAUGGCCACACUGUCUCCUCCUGAGACUCAGCGAAGUUGAAAUGUUUGUGAUGAUGCAAUCUCCCCGCGGAAAGACGGAAAGACCCCAUGAACCUUUACUGUAGCUUUGUAUUGGACUUUGAACAGAUCUGUGUAGGAUAGGUGGGAGGCUUUGAAGCAGGGUCGCUAGAUCUUGUGGAGCCAACGUUGAAAUACCACCCUGGUGUGUUUGAGGUUCUAACCUAGGUCCAUUAUCUGGAUCGGGGACAGUGCAUGGUAGGCAGUUUGACUGGGGCGGUCUCCUCCCAAAGCGUAACGGAGGAGUUCGAAGGUACGCUAGUUACGGUCGGACAUCGUGACGAUAGUGCAAUGGCAUAAGCGUGCUUAACUGCGAGACUGACAAGUCGAGCAGAUGCGAAAGCAGGACAUAGUGAUCCGGUGGUUCUGUAUGGAAGGGCCAUCGCUCAACGGAUAAAAGGUACUCUGGAUAACAGGCUGAUACCGCCCAAGAGUUCAUAUCGACGGCGGUGUUUGGCACCUCGAUGUCGGCUCAUCUCAUCCUGGGGCUGUAGCCGGUCCCAAGGGUAUGGCUGUUCGCCAUUUAAAGAGGUACGUGAGCUGGGUUUAAAACGUCGUGAGACAGUUUGGUCCCUAUCUUCCGUGGGCGCUGCAGAUUUGAGGAAGCCUGCUCCUAGUACGAGAGGACCGGAGUGGACACACCUCUGGUGUAUCGGUUGUCACGCCAGUGGCAUUGCCGAGUAGCUAAGUGUGGAAGAGAUAACCGCUGAACCAUCUAAGCGGGAAACUCGUUUCAAGAUGAGAUCUGCCGGGGCCUUGAGCCCCCUAAAGAGUCGUUCAAGACCAGGACGUUGAUAGGUCAGGUGUGGAAGCGAAG